This is a long non-coding RNA of Lolium rigidum, 1954 nucleotides long. RefSeq lists it as uncharacterized. The transcript is spliced from 4 exons. The record is from RefSeq and is a predicted model, not a curated record. NCBI's taxonomy places the organism in Eukaryota, Viridiplantae, Streptophyta, Magnoliopsida, Poales, Poaceae.
UGGUCAUCAUACAUAUGGAGCUGGUGAGUGUUUCCUUGUUUAACAUUAGUAAACCUUUGACAAUUCAUACUAGAUAGCAUGGUACAUGUCAUAGUAGUAGUUCAUACUAGAUUAUGACCCUGCAAGAUUGGUGGCGUUGUCACAAAGGUAAGAGAGGGGUACUGAUUUAUUACUGCUACAACAAAUGCACUACUACUUGAUGUUUCUUUUCUAUGUAAUUUUUCAGUUUUGGUUCCGCACGUAGCCGCGUCAAAACUAUUUUCCUCUCUCGCUGCAAGUUUUGAUCCUCACUAACAUUUUUUUUAUGUUCUGUCCAACACAAUUGUUAGAUAACCUGAAUCUCUUCUUGAUUUGUUGCAGGUCCUUCCUUGCCGAGGUUUUGGUCUGCUAAAAAAGGACAUGAACUGACCCAUAAGAGAGCAGGCUGAGCAUUUUACAUGACGUCCAAGCUAUACCAGAUCACAAUGGUUUGGAUCCUUGAGUUUCUACCGUUGACUUCAAUCUAAAUCUUUAUUCCCUAGGUUGGACUCGAUGUAGAGUAUCAUGGUCACCAACUAUUGGAUAUGCUUGUUAUGCGGGAUUGCUGGUAGAGAUGGGCAAGAAAUAAGGUGUAUUUUGGAGGAAGAAGAUGGAAGUUCUUAUUGUUUGGUGUCCAAUGUAUUUUGGUUCUGGUGCCCCGGUCUAAUGAUUUUCCUUGCUGGUUAUAGUAUUUCUGGAUCAUAUGGUUCGACAUCCAUCCAUACAUAACCAUUGAAAACAUACAUAUUUCAUGCAACUUCAUUGUACUUUGAGUACUUUUAUCCAAUCUUGUCUUAUUGCUCAUACCCAGUAUCAAUGUGCUUGAAUGCCUUUUUAUGUUUGGAUGUGCCGCCGCAAGGAGGAGCGGCCGGUGGGGAUCCACAUGAGCUGGACUUUUAGCCUCCUCUGCCUCUUCGUGGUUGUAGAUUUUUCUGCGGAAGUAGCAGAUGCCCGUUCAAGCUCGGCGCAUGCGCACAUUAUUUUGGUCUGGUAUGUCCCUGUGUUGAACACCUGAAUUUAUUUCGUCUGUCUUGUUUUGUUAAUAAGAAGAAAUACAACUGGUGUGGUUGUUUUGUAGUGAAGUUUGGCAUGUUAGGUACUGAUUGAAACGGCUACUUUGAAUACAUAUGAUGCUUCAAUUUGCCAUUGGGAAGAACUGAGAGGUAUUUGAGAGGUGGUUCGAUCUUCAAUGGCGUGGUAAUAGACAUUAUACUUAUUAUCAUAGAAAUUGACAUCCUGAUGUUGCUCGUGUAAUUGGGCACCGAGAGAUUUAUGAUAUUUUAUCACUUCAGGUUGAUGACCAGAACUAUAUUAGUAAAAGCUAGGCCUUUUCUUAUAUAUGUUUUAUGUGUGUAAAUGUCCCCUCAGUUCUUGGUUGUUCUGCCUAAAUUUGCAUCAGCUGUACAUUUGCGGUGAGCACUUAGUUCAUGUAUUAGUUCAGGCUAUUGCCCUUUAAAAGAUUAGCGGAUCCCACUCCAUGCCGUUUCCUUUAAAAAAAAAUUAGAUGGCCUAAUUCCACUUUCCAUAAUAUAUGCUCCUAUGUUUAUGAUUAGACAAUAAUACUUGAAUUAUUAGGCAUUCUUGAUGUAUCUUUUUUUGGCAUGUGCUGUGUUCUGUUGUUAUGACUAUUACUUAUGCUAUUUUACGAGUGGAUAUUAGCGCAGUGGGUAGCGGGAUGCUGAACUUGCUAGCCAGAGGAAUGAAGUAGACACUUACUUUUUAUUGCACCAUUAUAUUUACAGCAUAGGUCCUUAUUAGCUAUUGUGUGUAUAAUGCUACUUCAUACUUUAGACAUUUAAGACAGCAGCUUUCAGCAGUUUGUAGCUGACGGACAAUGGAGCAAGGAUGAAACAAAACUUUUGUGGCAUUCCAAGUGCGUCUCUGCAUUCCUCGAGUAGUUGUCGAUGCUGCUCAUGCUAACAUGAAGCAGAGGUGG